Amphiprion ocellaris (clown anemonefish) is the source of this 1719-nucleotide long non-coding RNA. RefSeq lists it as uncharacterized. The record is from RefSeq and is a predicted model, not a curated record. The transcript is spliced from 11 exons. NCBI's taxonomy places the organism in Eukaryota, Metazoa, Chordata, Actinopteri, Pomacentridae.
ACAGGGACCAGGUGUUUGACACAGAGAUUCCCACCACCCCACCAACCACAACUGCAGCUCCCACCACCUCCUCUCAACCCUGGACUGUCAGUCAUACUUCCAGACGAGAGAAAAUAACGCUCUCCCGAUAUAACUUUGGCAGUGUGUGUUGGCAGACAGCAUUGAUAACUCAAUCAGCGAGGACUCUCUGGCGUCUCUGAUCCGAAUUCCUGGUGGCUGUGUGGAGCAGAACUUGACCUCCAUCACUCUGCCACUCAUUUCCACCCUGUACCUGGACCGAAGCAACGGCUGGGAGAGUGUAGGAGUGCAACGCAAGGCUGAGGCUAUCCGAUACAUCAGGAGAGGCUAUGAGAACCAGCUGGCAUACAGAAGGAGCGGUGGCUCCUGUGUCUCUGUACGGCGGAUACGGGGCACAGGAGCAAGCACAUGGAUCACAGCGUACGUGGUGAAGGUGUGGCUGAUGAUGGCCGUUUUGCCAUCAUCGGCAUCAACCAGCAACAAGUGUGUGACCCUCUGCUCUACCUGGUGAAGAAUAAAUUCCGGCAUAGAGAGAAAAUCUACGUAGAAGACAACCCCGUUUACAGCACGACCAUGACUGGUGGUCUCUGUGGUGACGACCCAGAGACAACUCUGACCGCCUUUGUCCACAUCGGUCCCACAUUUGUCCACAAUGCGCUCAAGCAGGCAGGGAUCCACUGCAGCAGUCCAGGUGUAAAUGUGGAGGAAGCCAUCCGUUCAACAUGAGCCUACUUGAAGAGAGCUCUGACGAAGCCUGGGAGGAGACCAUACACGGUGGCCAUCGCCUCUUAUGCCCUGGCUUUGGACGGCUUGCCCACCACUCUUCAUGAACUUUUACUCAGAGGUGCAGCUCCAGGUUUCAGCCACUGGCUUGACAGGGAAAACCACUUGUUCAUGCUGGAGGCGACCGGCUAUGCCCUGCUGGCUCUGGUCAAGUGGGGACGAAUGGAGGAAGCUGCUGCACCCUUCAAAUGGCUGAACAGCCAGAGAAGAAGAGGAGGAGGCUUCGGCUCCACUCAGCCCACCAUGCUGGGUGGUGGUCUCUGCGUCAAACACCUGGUCAGAGUACCUGAUACACAAACCCCCUCCUGAUGACCACAGUCUGGAUGUAGACGUCAGGAUAACAGGACGCAAGGAAAUCCGCUACCAUUUUAACCCGAAGACAGCCUAUGCUGCUCGUACCUCCAGGUUGUCUGCUAAUCUUGAUUUGGAAGUAGAGGCUCAAGGAAAUGGACAAGGAAUACUAGAGUACAGGGAAAGACAACCACGGGUUGUGACCUAUUACAAUCAGCUGCAUGAGGUGGAAGAGAAAAUGCCCUGCAAGCACUUUGAUCUCAACGUCACUUUUGAAGGAUCCAGCGAAAAGCCUCCAGCAGAUGUAGAAAAGUCAGACAAGAUCAAGUAGUUGUUGUUGUUGUUAUACGUGUACACGACUGUGCAAAAUGUUAGAUCGGCAGCAAUAUCGACUACCUUAUUACAAAUUGCAGGGCACAGUUUCACAGCUUUGGGUAGUUCAAAAUAUCUUGUGCCAGUUCCUCUGUGGACUGACACUCUGUACAUUAUCUGAUAGGUACUUUAUUCAUUCCCUUAGGGAGAUUCAAGGUAUGCAUGAGCUCACGUGUUACAUAGAAGAUAGAGGGCCACUGUGCGAAUGAGCAUGCAACAGACAUCCCAAAUCUGCCUAAAAUGCUGGUAUUUACA